RNAcentral lists this ribosomal RNA (402 nucleotides) under Triticum aestivum (bread wheat). Its description in RNAcentral is "partial small subunit ribosomal RNA". Lineage: Eukaryota; Viridiplantae; Streptophyta; Magnoliopsida; Poales; Poaceae. The record is from RNAcentral.
AUGAGGGUAUUCGAAGAAGACACCAUGAAUUGGUAUUCGAAAAAGAUACCACCUUUCAUUACAUUGCUAACCAGUGAGGAUAUAUAUAAAAAGGAUACCACCAAUAGCAUAGCACCCUGCUGCUGUAAUUACAUGUACCUGUUUCAUAUAAUUAUAGUUGCAACUAAUAAGGUCAUCGAUUUUAACGAGGUCCAUAAGAUAAUAAUGUCUCCAUUGAGAUGUGCAAUGAAAUAUCGAAGGACCCUAUCCUUUUGUUUGUGGAUGCAUGAAGUAAUGAUGUCUGGCUAUGGGAGUGUCUCUUCGGAUGUUCUAAGGCAGUUUCCUGUGUCUCUGCUAGCUCCGAUUCUAUUGCGCCCUAUUGUCCGACAUAUGUUUAUUUAUGUGUUUGACCCACGUGUUUAG